Molecule: ribosomal RNA, 253 nt
Filed under: uncultured bacterium
Lineage: Bacteria
Description: partial 16S ribosomal RNA
Rfam family: Bacterial small subunit ribosomal RNA
Source: RNAcentral
UACGUAGGGUGCGAGCGUUAAUCGGAAUUACUGGGCGUAAAGCGUGCGCAGGCGGUUUGGUAAGACAGAUGUGAAAUCCCCGGGCUUAACCUGGGAACUGCAUUUGUGACUGCCAGACUAGAGUGUAGCAGAGGGGGGUAGAAUUCCACGUGUAGCAGUGAAAUGCGUAGAGAUGUGGAGGAAUACCGAUGGCGAAGGCAGCCCCCUGGGCUAACACUGACGCUCAUGCACGAAAGCGUGGGGAGCAAACAGG